UAGAGUGUUGCUGUGUGGUUGCUAAGGUAUUCUCAGUGCUUUGGGCACUGCUAUGCUGUUGCUAUAGUAUUCCGAGUGUUUUGGACACUGCUAUGCUGUUGCUAGGGUGUUGCUAAGGUAUUCUCAGUGUUUUGGACACUGCUAUGCUGUUACUAGAGUGUUGCUGUGUGGUUGCUAAGGUAUUCUCAUUGUUUUGGGCACUGCUAUGUUGUUGCUAGGGUGUUGCUAAGGUAUUCUGAGUGUUCUGGACACUGCUAUGCUGUAGCUAGGGUGUUGCUAAGGUAUUCUGAGUGUUUUGGAAACUGCUUUGCUGUUGCUAGGGUGUUGCUAAGGUAUUCUCAGUGUUUUGGACACUACUAUGCUGUUGCUAGAUUGUUGCUGUGUGGUUGCUAAGGUAUUCUCAUUGUUUUGGGCACUGCUAUGUUGUUGCUAGGAUGUUGCUAAGGUAUUCUGAGUGUUUUGGACACUGCUAUGCUGUUGCUAGGGUGUUGCUAAGGUAUUCUCAGUGUUUUGGACACUGCUAUGCUGUUGCUAGGGUGUUGCUAAGGUAUUCUCAGUGUUUUGGACACUGCUAUGCUGUUGCUAGGGUGUUGCUAAGUAAUUCUCAGUGUUUUGGACACUGCUAUGCUGUUGCUAGGGUGUUGCUAAGGUAUUCUCAGUGUUUUGGACACUGCUAUGCUGUUGCUAGGGUGUUGCUAAGGUAUUCUCAGUGUUUUGGACACUGCUAUGCUGUUGCUAGGGUGUUGCUAAGGUAUUCUCAGUGUUUUGGACACUGCUAUGCUGUUGCUAAGGUGUUGCAAAGGAAUUCUGAGCAUUAAAGGCAUAAUGUAUUUGUAUCUAAUUUUGAAACUUUUUUUUUUAUUUGUCUUUCAGUUAAAUUAUAAUUGACGUUCAAGUAAACCGACUGUUACAAAGACAAUAAAAAAAGUUUAAUCCAAGUUAAAUAAAGGUAUGAUCUGGCUUUCCAAAGUCAAUGAGCAAUUGUGUUAAAUAACGCUUUAUACUGACCAAAAUAAUUUGAUUUUUGAAAAUUAUUUUUCCAUAAUUGAGAACCCGGCACCAGGUCAAAACUGUCAAAACUGAUCACUUCAUCAGGCUGCAUGAUCUGAAGUACUACUCCAUUACUAAUUCUGUAGCACAAAUGAUCAGUCGUGCAGUCUAUCAGUCAAUGUUCUGGGUUUGUCCAGAUCACUAACACUAUAUGAGCAAUAACAGUAAGGUUUAGUAAGCACCACUAACUAGACAAAGUUUGGAAACGUG
This is a long non-coding RNA of Carassius gibelio (silver crucian carp), 1260 nucleotides long. RefSeq lists it as uncharacterized. The transcript is spliced from 4 exons. NCBI's taxonomy places the organism in Eukaryota, Metazoa, Chordata, Actinopteri, Cypriniformes, Cyprinidae. The record is from RefSeq and is a predicted model, not a curated record.